CCCAGACUCCUACGGGAGGCAGCAGUGGGGAAUAUUGGACAAUGGGGGGAACCCUGAUCCAGCCAUGCCGCGUGUGUGAAGAAGGCCUUUUGGUUGUAAAGCACUUUAAGCGAGGAGGAGGCUACCGAGAUUAAUACUCUUGGAUAGUGGACGUUACUCGCAGAAUAAGCACCGGCUAACUCUGUGCCAGCAGCCGCGGUAAUACAGAGGGUGCAAGCGUUAAUCGGAUUUACUGGGCGUAAAGCGCGCGUAGGUGGCCAAUUAAGUCAAAUGUGAAAUCCCCGAGCUUAACUUGGGAAUUGCAUUCGAUACUGGUUGGCUAGAGUAUGGGAGAGGAUGGUAGAAUUCCAGGUGUAGCGGUGAAAUGCGUAGAGAUCUGGAGGAAUACCGAUGGCGAAGGCAGCCAUCUGGCCUAAUACUGACACUGAGGUGCGAAAGCAUGGGGAGCAAACAGGAUUAGAUACCCUGGUAGUCCAUGCCGUAAACGAUGUCUACUAGCCGUUGGGGCCUUUGAGGCUUUAGUGGCGCAGCUAACGCGAUAAGUAGACCGCCUGGGGAGUACGGUCGCAAGACUAAAACUCAAAUGAAUUGACGGGGGCCCGCACAAGCGGUGGAGCAUGUGGUUUAAUUCGAUGCAACGCGAAGAACCUUACCUGGUCUUGACAUAGUAAGAACUUUCCAGAGAUGGAUUGGUGCCUUCGGGAACUUACAUACAGGUGCUGCAUGGCUGUCGUCAGCUCGUGUCGUGAGAUGUUGGGUUAAGUCCCGCAACGAGCGCAACCCUUUUCCUUAUUUGCCAGCGGGUUAAGCCGGGAACUUUAAGGAUACUGCCAGUGACAAACUGGA
RNAcentral lists this ribosomal RNA (846 nucleotides) under Acinetobacter sp. Its description in RNAcentral is "bacterial SSU rRNA". It matches the Rfam family "Bacterial small subunit ribosomal RNA", at positions 330 to 1167 of the family's 1533-position model. The record is from RNAcentral. Lineage: Bacteria; Pseudomonadati; Pseudomonadota; Gammaproteobacteria; Moraxellales; Moraxellaceae.